AAUAUUGCACAAUGGAGGGAACUCUGAUGCAGCAACGCCGCGUGAGUGAAGAAGGUUUUCGGAUCGUAAAACUCUGUCAUUGGGGAAGAAUAAAUGACGGUACCUUACCAGCAAGCCACGGCUCACUACGUGCCAGCAGCCGCGGUAAUACGUAGGUGGCAAGCGUUAUCCGGAAUUAUUGGGCGUAAAGGGAGCGCAGGCGGCUUAUUAAGUCUGAGGUUAAAGUUCGGGGCUCAACCCCGUGAUGCCUUAGAAACUGCUAGGCUAGAGUGCAGGAGAGGUGAGUGGAAUUCCAUGUGUAGCGGUAAAAUGCGUAGAGAUGUGGAGGAACACCAGUGGCGAAGGCGGCUUUCUGGUCUGUAACUGACGCUGAGGCGCGAAAGCGUGGGGAGCAAACA
Molecule: ribosomal RNA, 398 nt
Filed under: uncultured bacterium
Lineage: Bacteria
Description: partial 16S ribosomal RNA
Rfam family: Bacterial small subunit ribosomal RNA
Source: RNAcentral